This 77-nucleotide transfer RNA is filed under the name Gammaproteobacteria bacterium. Its description in RNAcentral is "tRNA-Arg". It matches the Rfam family "tRNA". From Rfam's summary of the family: Transfer RNA (tRNA) molecules are approximately 80 nucleotides in length. Their secondary structure includes four short double-helical elements and three loops (D, anti-codon, and T loops). Further hydrogen bonds mediate the characteristic L-shaped molecular structure. tRNAs have two regions of fundamental functional importance: the anti-codon, which is responsible for specific mRNA codon recognition, and the 3' end, to which the tRNAs corresponding amino acid is attached (by aminoacyl-tRNA synthetases). tRNAs cope with the degeneracy of the genetic code in two manners: having more than one tRNA (with a specific anti-codon) for a particular amino acid; and 'wobble' base-pairing, i.e. permitting non-standard base-pairing at the 3rd anti-codon position. The record is from RNAcentral. Lineage: Bacteria; Pseudomonadati; Pseudomonadota; Gammaproteobacteria.
GCGCCCAUAGCUCAACUGGAUAGAGUACCUGGCUACGAACCAGGCGGUUAGGGGUUCGACUCCCUUUGGGCGCGCCA